RNAcentral lists this long non-coding RNA (1300 nucleotides) under Oryctolagus cuniculus (rabbit). RNAcentral's name for it is "lncRNA (ENSOCUG00000033111.1)". The record is from RNAcentral. Lineage: Eukaryota; Metazoa; Chordata; Mammalia; Lagomorpha; Leporidae.
AUGGACUUCGGAGGUGAAGGAGUUCGAGUCCACGCUGCAUCCAUUGCUUCUCCAGUUCUCUGCGGAAACCUACAACGUCAUUUACUGAGGAUGACUUUCAUGCAGCAGGCUCAGAAAGGCCAAGCGACAACCUCGGCACCAACACAGGGUUUCUCUCUUGAAGGUAACCGCUGUGUCCAUCCUGUUCUGUCUAACCCAUUCUCUGCGUGUCUAGCACUCCUUACCUUGAAGCAGUGGCUUAGUUUCAAGAAUGAUGAUAUGGGAUUUUGUUUCCCCUCACAUAAUUUGUUUUUUAUUUGAGAGGCAGAGACAGAGAGAGCUCCCAUUCACUGGUUUUCUAACCCCAGAUGCUCACAGCAGCCAGGAACACAACCCAGGUCUCCCAGAUGGGUUCAGGAACCCAAUUACUUGAACCAUCACCAGCACUUCCCAGGAUGUUCUAUAGCAGGAAGCCAGGGUCAGGGGCCAGAACUGGGAAUCAAACUCUCAUAUGGCACAUGGGCAUCUUAACCACUAGGUUAAACCCCUACUUCCUGUUUCUUGUGCUUCUUAAAAAUUGGGUUUUGGCUGUCAUAUUGUUCAGCCUCACAGGGAAAAAGAAAAUGGUCUACACACUCAUUUUCUAAUUUUUUUCAAAAGUUUCCCAUUUCUUCCCCCCAAAUUAAGUUGCAAUUGGAACUUUAGUUUAUUUUCCCUGGCGUCAUUUAAUUUUUCCAAAAUGCAAAUGACAGCUGGAUGAAACAAGAAAGAGCCAGAGUAUGAAGUCACCUGCAAACAUCAGAAGUGGGUGGCCUGGGAGUUGGGCUAUUCGCACAACCCUGGGGGUGCUUUUAGUGUAGUUGUGUUAACAGUGCGUGCAGUCUCUUAAAAUCACAAUGCACACCCGCCCUGAGGAGGCUGCAUUCCCAAGUCUGUUCUUCUUCCUCCCUGCCCCACAUAUGGCAUUCGCCAGGUGAGUCCAGACAGCCUGAUCAAGUUCCCUGCACUUUCCUAAGCCUCGCGUGCAUUUUAAUUAACCAGCAUCUUGGGCUCACAGAAACAUCCUCCUUUGGGAUCCCUCCCCUCUCCCCCCUCUCCCUCCCUUCCCUUCCUUCCUUCCUUCCGUAAAGUCUAAUUUACCUAACAUUUCAAUGAAUGACUAGUUAUUAAAUACUAGAUACAUUUUCUCCCUUCCUCCCCAGUUUUGAAUGGACUAUUCAGACAUCCAUUUUCCCUACCUGAUCUAUGAACUUUCAUGUUUUUGUUUUCAACUCAUUAAAAAAAAUUGCCUGCCACUGAAAGCUGAUUGCAACUUUAAGAC